Molecule: transfer RNA, 73 nt
Filed under: Candidatus Omnitrophota bacterium
Lineage: Bacteria; Pseudomonadati; Candidatus Omnitrophota
Description: tRNA-Ala
Rfam family: tRNA
About the family: Transfer RNA (tRNA) molecules are approximately 80 nucleotides in length. Their secondary structure includes four short double-helical elements and three loops (D, anti-codon, and T loops). Further hydrogen bonds mediate the characteristic L-shaped molecular structure. tRNAs have two regions of fundamental functional importance: the anti-codon, which is responsible for specific mRNA codon recognition, and the 3' end, to which the tRNAs corresponding amino acid is attached (by aminoacyl-tRNA synthetases). tRNAs cope with the degeneracy of the genetic code in two manners: having more than one tRNA (with a specific anti-codon) for a particular amino acid; and 'wobble' base-pairing, i.e. permitting non-standard base-pairing at the 3rd anti-codon position.
Source: RNAcentral
GGGCCUGUAGCUCAGCUGGGAGAGCGCGUGCUUUGCAAGCAUGAGGUCAGCGGUUCGAUCCCGCUCAGGUCCA